RNAcentral lists this non-coding RNA (228 nucleotides) under Intestinibacter bartlettii. RNAcentral's name for it is "Clostridium bartlettii T-box sequence". It matches the Rfam family "T-box leader". From Rfam's summary of the family: Uncharged tRNA acts as the effector for transcription antitermination of genes in the T-box leader family. T-boxes are found upstream of many aminoacyl-tRNA synthetase genes and some amino acid biosynthetic genes usually in Gram-positive bacteria. The anticodon of a specific tRNA base pairs to a specifier sequence within the T-box motif, and the NCCA acceptor tail of the tRNA base pairs to a conserved bulge in the T-box antiterminator hairpin. The record is from RNAcentral. Lineage: Bacteria; Bacillati; Bacillota; Clostridia; Peptostreptococcales; Peptostreptococcaceae.
UAAAAAGCAAUGAAUAGGAAGAGUAAAUCUAAUUCGGUUUUCAGAGAGGGAAAUUUAUAAGCUGAGAGAUUUUCUAAAUUAGAGGGAUUGAAAACUACCUAGGAGCUGCAGCCUGAAGUUUUAAGAAUGAACUUAUUUUAGUAAGGUUUGUCGUCAGUCGCGUUAAGACGUUAAGUGAGUUAUGAAAAUAACUAAGUAGGGUGGAACCGCGAGAGACUCGUCCCUUUU